ACAAUAAUAAGAAAUUCAUUCUCUUCUUAUAUAUUUUGCUCUUCUCUUUCUAUUUCUCUUCUCAUUGUUAGGGAUUCAAUCCCAAAUCAAAUCUUCAGAUUAUACUAAGAAUCGAUGACUUAACAUGGCAUCGGAGUCUAUCAUCGACCGUUUAUGGCUCCACAUGUCCACUGACAGUAUUUGUUUCUCAAGCUCCUUUCCUUAUUGAAGUUUUCGUUGCCGGAAAACCUAUGGAUUUUUCUUUGAUUUUGAUCGAUUUGGUCAUAACUGAUGAAUGUUAGAUGAUUACAGAGAUUGUGAGUUAUUUCUCUAAAUAAAUUGUGACUCGAUUCAAUGGAAAUUUCCGACUCUACCGGUGGUAUCAAAGGUCGCGAUGGUUUUUCUUCUGAUAAAAUAAAGGUCUUUCUUCUUUAGGUUGCAAAGAUUGACUGUAAUAUCCUUUCAUCACUAAUUUGGGUUGAAGUGUCGGUAGAUACCAAUUUUAUAUUUUCUUUUUGUACAAAAUUGACCUAACUAGGGUUUAGAAAUGCGUAGUUUUGAAGUGAGUUUGUCAACUACAGCUAAUGAUUUUGAUGAUUUUAUUAUACCUCC
This 591-nucleotide long non-coding RNA is filed under the name Nicotiana benthamiana. RNAcentral describes it as "long non-coding RNA (NBEN_LNC036022)". Lineage: Eukaryota; Viridiplantae; Streptophyta; Magnoliopsida; Solanales; Solanaceae. The record is from RNAcentral.